GUAGCUCAGUGGUAGAGAACUUGCCUAGUGUGUACAAGGUCCUAGGUUCAAUACCUAGUACG
This 62-nucleotide transfer RNA is filed under the name Marmota monax (woodchuck). RNAcentral describes it as "tRNA.Thr". Lineage: Eukaryota; Metazoa; Chordata; Mammalia; Rodentia; Sciuridae. The record is from RNAcentral.